UACGUAGGGGGCAAGCGUUGUCCGGAUUUAUUGGGCGGAAAGAGCGUGUAGGCGGCUUUACAGGUCCGUUGGGAAAACUCGAGGCUCAACCUCGAGACGCCGGUGGAAACCGUAAAGCUAGAGUCCGGAAGAGGAGAGUGGAAUUCCUGGUGUAGCGGUGAAAUGCGCAGAUAUCAGGAGGAACACCCGUGGCGAAAGCGGCUCUCUGGGACGGUACUGACGCCGAGACGCGAAAGCGUGGGGAGCAAACAGG
This 253-nucleotide ribosomal RNA is filed under the name uncultured bacterium. Its description in RNAcentral is "partial 16S ribosomal RNA". It matches the Rfam family "Bacterial small subunit ribosomal RNA", at positions 524 to 776 of the family's 1533-position model. The record is from RNAcentral.